UCAAUGGGUAAAUGAGCAGUGAUAUAAUU
RNAcentral lists this non-coding RNA (29 nucleotides) under Trypanosoma brucei brucei. Lineage: Eukaryota; Euglenozoa; Kinetoplastea; Trypanosomatida; Trypanosomatidae. The record is from RNAcentral.